AUUGAACGCUGGCGGCAGGCCUAACACAUGCAAGUCGAGCGGAUGAAGGGAGCUUGCUCCUGGAUUCAGCGGCGGACGGGUGAGAACUGCCUAGGAAUCUGCCUGGUAGUGGGGGAUAACGUCCUGAAACGGGCGCUAAUACCGCAUACGACCUGAGGUCGCAAGUGGGGGAUCUUCGGAUCUCACGCUAUCAUGUGAGCCUAGGUCUGUUUAGCUAGUUGGAGGGGUAAAUGCUUACCAAGGCUAGGAUCCGUAACUGGUAUUAAAGGAUGACCAGUCACAUUGGAAGUGAGGAGCGGUACAGACUCCUGGGCGAGGAAGCCGUGCGGAAUAUUGGACGAUGGACGAAAGCCUGAUACAGGCAUGCCGCGUGUGUGAAGAAGGAGUUAGGACUGUAGAGCACUUUAAGUUGGAGGGAAGGGAAGUAAGUUUAUCCCGGACUAUAAUGACAUUACCGGGAGAAUAAGCACCGGCUAACUUCGUG
RNAcentral lists this ribosomal RNA (484 nucleotides) under uncultured bacterium. RNAcentral describes it as "partial 16S ribosomal RNA". It matches the Rfam family "Bacterial small subunit ribosomal RNA", at positions 30 to 507 of the family's 1533-position model. The record is from RNAcentral.